RNAcentral lists this transfer RNA (90 nucleotides) under Rhodocyclaceae bacterium. Its description in RNAcentral is "tRNA-Ser". It matches the Rfam family "tRNA". Rfam says of the family: Transfer RNA (tRNA) molecules are approximately 80 nucleotides in length. Their secondary structure includes four short double-helical elements and three loops (D, anti-codon, and T loops). Further hydrogen bonds mediate the characteristic L-shaped molecular structure. tRNAs have two regions of fundamental functional importance: the anti-codon, which is responsible for specific mRNA codon recognition, and the 3' end, to which the tRNAs corresponding amino acid is attached (by aminoacyl-tRNA synthetases). tRNAs cope with the degeneracy of the genetic code in two manners: having more than one tRNA (with a specific anti-codon) for a particular amino acid; and 'wobble' base-pairing, i.e. permitting non-standard base-pairing at the 3rd anti-codon position. RNAcentral also lists the same sequence under 1 other name. The record is from RNAcentral. Lineage: Bacteria; Pseudomonadati; Pseudomonadota; Betaproteobacteria; Rhodocyclales; Rhodocyclaceae.
GGAGGUGUGGCAGAGCGGUUGAUUGCACCGGUCUUGAAAACCGGCGACGUUGAAAGACGUCCGUGAGUUCGAAUCUCACCGCCUCCGCCA